Molecule: ribosomal RNA, 466 nt
Filed under: uncultured Streptococcus sp.
Lineage: Bacteria; Bacillati; Bacillota; Bacilli; Lactobacillales; Streptococcaceae
Description: bacterial SSU rRNA
Rfam family: Bacterial small subunit ribosomal RNA
Source: RNAcentral
ACGGGGGCCCGCACAAGCGUGGAGCAUGUGGUUUAAUUCGAAGCAACGCGAAGAACCUUGCCAGGUCUUGACAUCCCGAUGCUAUUUCUAGAGAUAGAAAGUACUUCGGUACAUCGGUGACAGGUGGUGCAUGGUUGUCGUCAGCUCGUGUCGUGAGAUGUUGGGUUAAGUCCCGCAACGAGCGCAACCCCUAUUGUUAGUUGCCAUCAUUCAGUUGGGCACUCUAGCGAGACUGCCGGUAAUAAACCGGAGGAAGGUGGGGAUGACGUCAAAUCAUCAUGCCCCUUAUGACCUGGGCUACACACGUGCUACAAUGGUUGGUACAACGAGUUGCGAGUCGGUGACGGCGAGCUAAUCUCUUAAAGCCAAUCUCAGUUCGGAUUGUAGGCUGCAACUCGCCUACAUGAAGUCGGAAUCGCUAGUAAUCGCGGAUCAGCACGCCGCGGUGAAUACGUUCCCGGGCCUU